RNAcentral lists this small RNA (130 nucleotides) under Pseudomonas granadensis. The record is from RNAcentral. Lineage: Bacteria; Pseudomonadati; Pseudomonadota; Gammaproteobacteria; Pseudomonadales; Pseudomonadaceae.
UGUGUCGACGGACAGACACGCCCUUCAAGGAGGAGGGGAACGGACAUCGCAGGACGUGAUUCAUCAGGACGAUGAAAGGGAAUACAGGGAAUAGGGAAAAAUGUGGGCGGGUCAUACCGCCCCUUUUUUU